GCCAAUCCCUCGUGCUCCUCGAGCCCCGCGUCCAUCCUCCUCCCUCGCUCUCCACUCCCCACCCUCCCCCGCGCAGCCGCCGCCUCUCCCCUGCCCUCCUCAUCUAGAGCCCUUCCCAGCCGACGGAGGAGCCCCCUUCCCAGCCCUGCGUCGGAGUUCAGAGGCAGGGGAGGUGUGGAUCGAUGAUGGUGCAGCAAAGAAGAGGAUGUGAGAUCGAGGAGGGAGCGAGCCGUUGCAGAGGAGAUGGGAGAAGGGGGUGCGCGGUGGUGAGGCAUCGGCACCGGAGAAGCAGAUCCGUGGUGCGCGGUGAAGCGGGAUACGUGACGCCGGCCGGCGCUCGCGGGUACGUCCUGCAGGAUGACGCCGCAGCUCCAGUCUUCUCCUCACGGUGGUCCAUGGCGCUAUCACUGUCGUCCUCAGCAGGAGGACCGCGGGACGCAGAGGCGGCCGGCUCCAUCCUGCUCUUGUGCGGCCGUACCUCUGCCUUUCUCGUCCGCCGCGCCCCAGGCUAGUAGGUGGACGGCGCGGAGAGUUCUUGUCACAAGACGCAGGAGGAUGGCUCUCGCCGACGCCACGCUAUGCUCCUCUCGCCUCUGCCGCACUCUGCUCCGGCUUGCCACCGAAAAGGCUGUGCUUUCGGUCCAAGGAGCCGAUGGGUCGCCGGAUCCGUCGGCCACCCAUGGACUUCGCCUGGAACGCGGGCUGGGAGGCGGCGCUGCCAGCCUGCAACGCCAACCCCGAUCCCGACCAACCCGGCGCCGCAGGGGGUGGAGGCGGAGUCCAUGAUGCUGGUCUCCGGGCCGCGCGUCGCCGUCUCCGGGCUGAGGCGAGCCGACUGCUGCGCAGUGCCUGCUCUCAUGAAGAUGAAUGUGUCCUGUUCGUCAAUGCCGGUGGGUAUAUUUGAAAAAAUUGCAAAGGAAGCAGAAGACAAUGUGCUCCUGAGAGAGAUGCACAAUAUUCAAUACCCUUAUGUCCCGCACAAUGCACCGCACAAGGUCCUUGCUCCCUUCCUUGCUGCAGUGAGGAGACGAGAGAGGAGAUUGCUGGAUCUGGAAAUGGAGGUCAGCACCACCUACAGGACAAGAGUGCUGCUCCUCUCCGACUCUUCAAGGCCUCUCAUGCUCUGCUCUUGCUCAGGCUGAAUUAGAAGGUUAGGUGUGACAAAAAAACUGAAACUUAUCUCCUAAUAUCCCUCCAUUUUUGCAAAAUCAAAUUUGUGUCAGCUAUAUGACCCAUGAUCAUACACUUGUUUCAAAUAAUCAUACGCUUAUCAAUUUCCACGGACAGGUUAAUGGUGUAUACCUGCUUCUGAGCUGCCAUGCAAAGACUCUGUUAUCUCUUGAAUUUAUCCACUGCCAACUUUAUCCUGCAGGCAUGGAUAAAGUUUGCAUUAGUCUUUGCCAGCCAGGUUCCCAAAACUACAAGUUCCAGUCCUUUUAUUCUGCCUUGGUCAUAAUGUUAAUUUUUCUGCCAUAUGUUAAAUUUGUUGUCAUAUGUAGGCCAUCAGAUAACUUGUGUAUGUUCAUCUAGCUGCAAAAGAAACUUAUGACUUGUGUCAUCGGUAAAAAAACAGUAGACCUGUUUACAAUUGAAAGGACCAGGCACUGCCAUUUUCUUGCUGUGUUAUACUCUCAAUGAAUCUUAAUUAUUUCUGAUAUGUUUCAGUUAUUUUAUUUCAACAAAUGACAAGACUAAUCUGUCAUUCACAAUGUUUUUGCAGCUAGCAUUAAAAGCUGGUGUGUUUUAUGACAGAGUGACAAAUAUGACUAUUUGGGGAAACCAUUCAACAACUCAGGUUCCUAAUUUCUUGAAUGCCAAAAUUAAUGGGAGGCCAGUAAAAGAAGUCAUCAAAGAUAAAAAGUGGCUAGAAGAGGAUUUUCCUACAACUGUUCAAAAGGUACACGGAGAAGGUUGUGGUGCCGGCGAGGCUGUUGCUCCCGGUGUCAGAGAGGGUAUCGCUGACCGAUGCCGCCGGCUUGCCCAAGGUGUCCUGCACGUCUUCAUGACCAGCCAUCUCCCCAGGUUUAUUGGUUCAGAUAGAUACAGUAUAUAUGGUACAAAGAUGUUUUCCGAAAGCAACUCUGUUAUGCCGCUCCAGAAAGCCAAAGAGGAACUAACUGCUUGCGACGUUUAAGGUGUGGACAUAUGCAGAAACUACAAAACCUUUGUAGCACGUAUCGAAGAAGAAACUAAUGGAAAUGGUAUUAUCCUGCCAUCCUCUUGUGACGCUUGAUGCCCUGAUGCAAAAGUAAAAUAAAAUUAUUUCGCUUUACCAAGUUAUACCCGUCAAUUUCAUAUACAUUCUAACUGUAAUAUGUGGAAUAGCUCUACCAAACCUUGUUGUCAUUCUGUACAACGUAGGCAUAUCUUAUCUCCAAGGCAAUCUGGAUAGCUUAGCAGUUGAUGGUAGACUUUUCAUCGUUGGUUUCAUGUGAGGCACUGUAAUUGAAGUGAACCUGCAGGCGAUGCUUGCCCGAAGACCGACUGUACAAGGUUGUAUCGAUCUAUCUAUAUACAACCAUGCCUCUUUCAGUUUUAUGUGUUUUUUCCUGGUAACACAUCUUACUCUCUGAACACAAUGCUCAUAGGACUGUUGAUGCUUUUCUACUGUUAGAAUUUCAUGCUUUGUUUUUCGGCAACUGAUUAUGUAGUGCUAUGAUGUAGCUUUGUGUCUUCUAAAUUAUUUUUUACUCUCAAAUAAUUUAUUAGACAAUGGAAGAGCUAAGUGGUACUUUUGUGUAGACUUACCUCCAUUCACCUGAUUCCUAUUUCACCAUCUCGCACAAUGUAUUCAGAGAGAUGCUGCCACUUGUGAUACAUCUGUGUGAAGCCAGAUCCAGAAUGAGUCGACAGAGUUGGGAGUAGCGAUACAACAUCUGGGGGCUAUGCUUUUUGAGCUUGGACGGACAAUGAUGACGCUUAGAAUGGGGCCAUCUCCUGCUAAUGCUUUUGUAAAUGCUGGGCAUGCUGUUUAUACAAACCCCACUGGACCAAGUCCAAUCAUAGUUCAGAAUACCUGUAUAGCUUUGCUUUCCUAUCAUGAACUGCUGACAACUUUGUUUUGGGCUAUCAUGCUAGCAUGCACUGUAACAUAUAUCACUGUGUAUUAACAUGCUACCUAAGUAUCUAUUUCUUUAUACUUUAUUAUCAGUCCUUAAACAAAUUUUACGUGCAUGAUUUGAAUGCUUGGUUUACUGUCGCCCUUUGUACCAUCGGCGCAACGAGUGAUUAGCUGCUUUUUAUGUGUGAGAAUGUUAGGAAUGUUUCUAUAUGUGCCCAGAUUUAUUUGGUGUGCCUGCUAUGUUUCACUUUCACUGCUCUUUGUUGAAUAAAUUGAGAAAUUCUUGAUUCUUUUUAUGUUAUUUCUUUACAUGAAGGAUCCAGAUUAAAAUAUAAUAUGUUAUUCUUGCUGGCUUAGUUUAAACAAAUGCAUUUUAGAUCACCUACUUCUCAGUUCAUGAUUUUUGACUCUGGUGUGUUGCAGUUGAUUACCGGAACACGCUCACCCAAAGUGUCGAUCUGCAUCCAUACAUAAUUUACUAAAAGAAAUUUUUUGAGUUGUUUCUGCAUAUGCCUUUUGGUAUUUACUAGGUCACCUUCAAGAUUCGCUAACUAACAUACAUAUCCUAUCUACGCUUUUCACAUCCAUAUAAUGAUGCCAUGUUUUUCCUAUUGAGUAGACGAUUCUUUAUUUAUUAACCUAUACAUCAAUAUGUUGUUUCCAUUGAUCUCAUAGUACUUUUUGUGUGUUUCUUUAUGUUGGGCUGAAAACUUAUUGUCGGUUCAAGCUAUUUUUUAAGUCAUGUAUACUAUGGAAGUUGUGUAAAAGAACAUUUACUAAAAUGUUAUGUAAAACCUAUGGCUCAAAGCUAAGCUUCGGUAAAUUGGAAUAUUUAGAGAUAUAUUUGGGAGUUUCAUUAGAUUAAUUUGGAAUUUCAAACUAAUCCAUUUAAUUAUUUGAGAGCACUAGCAACACAAUUUUUGAAAAAAAAAACAUGCCCACCAAACGAAGGGCAUGGGUAUGUUGUCCAUGUAUGCAAAUCUCUAGGAAUGAGAAACCCUCAAGAACUACUAGGAAGGAGAAAGCCCUCCACGUCUCCCAGCCUGACUAUGCCUCCGUACGUUCCCUCUUUCGAUCUGUCUCUCCCCUUCCGGUCCGUUCCGUUCCCCCCUCACGGCGCCCGUGUUUGUGUCUCCUGGCCUGACGUAUGUGCGUGUGUGGUUCUUCUGCAGCUCGCGCCGAGGAUUGCUGUGUCCAAGUGGAAACAGUCUAUGUGGCGCUCGUAGGUAGAAAGGUGCAGGAAAGAAUAGGGAAACUUCUGUCAUUUUCUUUGGUCUCUGAAAAAUAAAUGGUGAUAUGGGCUGAUGCAUUGCUAAAUUACAUGAUACAAAUUCACUUCUCUUUUUUGAUUUUUGGUUUACUUCGUUGUGCUACAAUGGCUCUCCUAGGAAUGUUCUUCCAUGCUUUGAUGUGCACAAUCGAGAAAGUGCAUGCAUCCAGAAACCAAAUAGGAUUUUUUUUAUGUGUUAUCUUCUCAUAAAUCUUGUGCUCGUCCAAUAAGAAUAAGGUUUGGUGGUAUUGCUUUUGUCUAUCACUCGGUAGAUUUCAGACUUCAAGCUAGCUGCAGUUAUUUCAGGUUAUAUGUGCAAAUCCUUGGUGUGGCAUCAUUGGUAACUGAUCAUGAAUACAUUGCAAUCUGAUAUGUCUAUUCUUGAUUUGUGGUGCCAUGGUGUAAAAAUUGGUCCUAAAGAUACAUGAUGUUUUGGUACAAAGUUGAGACAGUUAUUUUUGAAGGAGGGAAUAUUAGAUUAUUUUGUUCCUUUUUAAUUUGGUUCUAAAGAUAUAGUUUUAGAGUGAUCAUUUUGCAUCAGCCAAGCUUGCCGUUGUUGUAAAUAAUUGUGCUGUUGUCCUCAAUUCACUUUCGGUUUUUUAAUGCUACAAGCGUUAUUGUUCCAGUUUUUUCAGUUAUUGAUCAUGCCAUUAUUCUUUCCGCCUUUGUAGCUGAAAGAUUAGUGAGACUGAGUAAAUUUUGAACAUGUUCCAUGUGAGAGAAAUAGCAUGUUGAUUUCAUCUUAAAAUAAUCAUAGCUGAGGGAUGAGAUUUGUAACUGAGGGUCAUGUGCAGAGCUGGAGGAAGAAGUUGCGAGGCUUGGAACUCUCCUUGUGAAGGGCUCAGGGACAGCAGUGAGGACUAUGCCUCUUUAGUUGUAAUUGUGAUACUCCUGAUGUGCAAGUAAACACUCCUGUGAUACUCCUUAUGCUAAAAUGUUGGUUGUUAGUACA
RNA transcript from Triticum dicoccoides, 5283 nucleotides. It is a transcript of the gene named malate dehydrogenase [NADP] 1, chloroplastic-like, with no coding region annotated. The record is from RefSeq and is a predicted model, not a curated record. The transcript is spliced from 8 exons. NCBI's taxonomy places the organism in Eukaryota, Viridiplantae, Streptophyta, Magnoliopsida, Poales, Poaceae.